CUAAUGAUCUAAUCAAUCAUGCCUGUGUAAUGAAGCCUCUAAAAACCCAACAGGAGAGGGUUCUGGGAAUUUCUGAGUUGGUGGAGGUGUAGGAGAGUGGCACAGCCAGUAAGGGCCUGGAAGCUCUGUGCCAUUUCCCCACACCUUGCCCUGUACAUCUCUUCCAUCUGGCUGUUCCCUGAGUUAUAUUCUGUAAUAAACCACUAAUCUGGCCACAUUACAAGCUUUGAGCAAAGACUUGAAAGAAAAGUAUUUGUUUAAUGAAUAUCUGCAAGAAGAAUGGUCUGGAUAAAGAAAAUAGCUAGAGCAAUGGCCCCAAGCAAUUAAAUGGAGAUAGAGUGGAAUGAGCAGAACUUCAACAAUACAUCACCAUUGACAUUUCAGUAUUUGAUUAUUUAGUGUGAAUUCACUGAAUGGAAGAAUUAUUAACUACCAGGAUAUGUUGCUGUCAUGAAGAUAUAUCCAAAAUUAUAUACUGAAGGCAGUGAUCAUUACGGAGGCAGACAGAGAAUUCGGUAUCUUCUAUUGAAGUUGAGCAUAAAGAUAUUCGAAACGAUAUAUGUGAUCUUUGGAGGAGAAAAGGACAGCUUUAGGCCCUUGGUGCUGGCAUUUUCAUGUCUUUCUCAAUACCGCAACCAUGCUGUGUCCUUUGGAGGUGUUCUUUUACUGGACUGUUCCCCAAUGAAACUGGGUCUUGAAGUGUCAAUGGUAUCAAGCGAGAUCAUAGGGUACCCCUCUAAAUCUGCCUCUGGUUGAUGUCAGUGCUGCUAGCCCUGUGGAUUCUGGUCAUAGCUGCCAACUUUCUCUUUGAAACUUCUUCCUUUUCAUUAUGUUUAGGUGCCUCUCAAGUCACCGAGCUUUGGUCCAGACUCAAAAUCAAAUUUCUUUUUUCUCGUCUCUCCCUGACUGAUCUCAGAGACAUUACAAAGCACAUUAAAUCUCCAAAGAGAGACAGCACUUAAAAGUGCUAUUUCACUUUUGUGUUAACUCACAAAAGUCAGUAUCUCUGACUGAUCACAUAUGAAAGAACCCUUAAAAAGGACAGUAUCACA
Molecule: long non-coding RNA, 1052 nt
Organism: Bubalus bubalis (water buffalo)
Lineage: Eukaryota; Metazoa; Chordata; Mammalia; Artiodactyla; Bovidae
Exons: 5
Source: RefSeq, a predicted model, not a curated record